ACGCUGGCGGCGUGCCUAACACAUGCAAGUCGAGCGAGAAUCUACUAAUUGAUCCCUUCGGGGGUGAUUUUUGGUAGAGGAAAGCGGCGGACGGGUGAGUAACGCGUGAGUAACCUGCCCUUCAGAGGGGGACAACAGUUAGAAAUGACUGCUAAUACCGCAUAACAUGUAUUUAUCGCAUGGUAGAUACAUCAAAGAUUUAUCGCUGAGAGAUGGCCUCGCGUCUGAUUAGCUAGUUGGUGAGGUAAACGGGCCCACCAAGGCGACGAUCAGUAGCCGGACUGAGAGGUUGACCGGCCACAUUGGGACUGAGAUACGGCCCAGACUCCUACGGGAGGCAGCAGUGGGGAAUAUUGGGCAAUGGGGGAAACCCUGACCCAGCAACGCCGCGUGAAGGAAGAAGGCCCUCGGGUUGUAAACUUCUUUUAGCAGGGACGAAAAAAUGACGGUACCUGCAGAAAAAGCAACGGCUAACUACGUG
Molecule: ribosomal RNA, 481 nt
Filed under: uncultured bacterium
Lineage: Bacteria
Description: bacterial SSU rRNA
Rfam family: Bacterial small subunit ribosomal RNA
Source: RNAcentral